This 484-nucleotide ribosomal RNA is filed under the name uncultured bacterium. RNAcentral describes it as "partial 16S ribosomal RNA". It matches the Rfam family "Bacterial small subunit ribosomal RNA", at positions 30 to 507 of the family's 1533-position model. The record is from RNAcentral.
AUUGAACGCUGGCGGCAGGCCUAACACAUGCAAGUCGAGCGGAUGAAGGGAGCUUGCUCCUGGACUCAGCGGCGGACGGGUGAGUAAUGCCUAGGAAUCUGCCUGGUAGUGGGGGAUAACGUCCGGAAACGGGCGCUAAUACCGCAUACGUCCUGAGGGAGAAAGUGGGGGAUCUUCGGACCUCACGCUAUCAGAUGAGCCUAGGUCGGAUUAGCUAGUUGGUGGGGUAAAGGCCUACCAAGGCGACGAUCCGUAACUGGUCUGAGAGGAUGAUCAGUCACACUGGAACUGAGACACGGUCCAGACUCCUACGGGAGGCAGCAGUGGGGAAUAUUGGACAAUGGGCGAAAGCCUGAUCCAGCCAUGCCGCGUGUGUGAAGAAGGUCUUCGGAUUGUAAAGCACUUUAAGUUGGGAGGAAGGGCAGUAAGUUAAUACCUUGCUGUUUUGACGUUACCAACAGAAUAAGCACGGGCUAACUUCGUG